GAAGAGGCUGUGAGAGACGAUGUCGAGCUGGGGUGCCUCCUCCUCCGGCGCCGCCGCUCUCAAUCCAAUUCCUUGUAGCAGGAGAAAGAGGGUAAGAGGCAGUGAAGGAUGGUCGAUGGAAUCUCCCAGAGGAGCCAUGGCAUUUAUAGCCUCAUCGGAAGGUAGGGGGAGGGAGAACGGCCACUAUUGAGCGGUUAUAACCGCCUCAACAACUUCCUUCCCGAAGCUCCCACUGUUGGACCUCCAGAUGGGCCACCGACUACGAUCCAGGUUGGCCCGUCUGGGCCCAAUAAUUACAUUUUCACCUUGCAAAUUACUUUGAGAUGCUGACCUAUAGAGUUUGUAAUGCUAAGUUGAUUAGUUUUUUGUGACUUUAAAGUUUCAGGAUGGCAGUGUUUUUUUGGAUUUCUGAGAUAUCCAAAAUGCUCACCAAGGGAAAAAGAUGAAAUGUCCCAUGCAUGAAAUUUUCCUCAAGGUGCUGCUUAAAUUUAUACUUAGAGAAUUAUCUGCUUAAAUUUUCUGACAUGGAAUUCAGAGCAGCGUGGGAGGGAAUCUCAUAUGCCAAGCGGGCGCUAGAGACGAGGAGCAUCAUCCUAGAGAGAGACUUAGUGAAGAUUAUGGAGCAGAUUCUACAGGAGGGGACGUGAGAGAUAAAUCAUCCGCUUCUAUUGGGGGAGUGUGAUGCCUUACAGAUUGUAUAUGUCUACCGGGAGGCGAACAGAGUUGCGGAUUGGGUCACCUUCUGUACUGCUCACCACUUCGGAGAGAUUCUCUGGACACGUCAUGUAUCUGUCCCUCCACCUCUAGAGUGUAUCCUUUUUUUAGACUCUCAUGGCAGUACUCAUGAGAAAUUAGUGUAAGCAGCCGAUGUAUCAAAAAAAAAGAAAAAGAAAAGAACAUGAAAUAUCAUGAUGCAAAGAGAUAUUAAUAGUAACACCCACCUUUAG
This 947-nucleotide long non-coding RNA is filed under the name Phoenix dactylifera (date palm). Its description in RNAcentral is "long non-coding RNA (PDAC_LNC002353)". Lineage: Eukaryota; Viridiplantae; Streptophyta; Magnoliopsida; Arecales; Arecaceae. The record is from RNAcentral.